AGGGAAUAGAUACCCGGGUAGUCCAUGCUGUAAACGAUGUCAACUAGCCGUUGGGGCCCUUGAGGCUUUAGUGGCGCAGCUAAACGCGAUAAGUUGACCGCCUGGGGAGUACGGCCGCAAGGUUAAAACUCAAAUGAAUUGACGGGGGCCCGCACAAGCGGUGGAGUAUGUGGUUUAAUUCGAUGCAACGCGAAGAACCUUACCUGGCCUUGACAUAUCCGGAACCCUGCAGAGAUGCGGGGGUGCCUUCGGGAAUCGGAAUACGGGUGCUGCAUGGCUGUCGUCAGCUCGUGUCGUGAGAUGUUGGGUUAAGUCCCGCAACGAGCGCAACCCUUAUCCUUAGUUGCCAGCGCGUAAAGGCGGGAACUCUAGGGAGACUGCCGGUGACAAACCGGAGGAAGGCGGGGACGACGUCAAGUCAUCAUGGCCCUUACGGCCAGGGCUACACACGUACUACAAUGGUCGGUACAAAGGGUUGCUAAGCCGCGAGGCCACGCCAAUCUCAAAAAGACCGAUCGUAGUCCAGAUUGGAGUCUGCAACUCGACUCCAU
Molecule: ribosomal RNA, 551 nt
Filed under: uncultured bacterium
Lineage: Bacteria
Description: bacterial SSU rRNA
Rfam family: Bacterial small subunit ribosomal RNA
Source: RNAcentral